GAUGAACGCUGGCGGCGUGCCUAACACAUGCAAGUCGAGCGGCAGCGAGGGGUGCUUGCACCCUGUCGGCGAGCGGCGGACGGCUGAGUAACGCGUGGGAACGUGCCCCAAAGUGAGGAAUAACUGCCCGAAAGGGUAGCUAAUACCGCAUAUUAUCUUCGGAUCAAAGGAUUUAUCCGCUUUGGGAGCGGCUCGCGUCGGAUUAGGUAGUUGGUGAGGUAAUGGCUCACCAAGCCGACGAUCCGUAGCUGGUCUGAGAGGAUGACCAGCCAGACUGGAACUGAGACACGGUCCAGACUCCUACGGGAGGCAGCAGUGAGGAAUCUUCCACAAUGGGCGAAAGCCUGAUGGAGCAACGCCGCGUGCAGGACGAAGGCCUUCGGGUUGUAAACUGCUUUUAUAAGUGAGGAAUAUGACGGUAACUUAUGAAUAAGGAUCGGCUAACUACGUGCCAGCAGCCGCGGUCAUACGUAGGAUCCGAGCGUUAUCCGGAGUGACUGGGCGUAAAGAGUUGCGUAGGCGGUUGUAUAAGUGAAUAGUGAAAUCUGGUGGCUCAACCAUACAGGCUAUUGUUCAAACUGUACAACUUGAGAGUGGUAGAGGUCACUGGAAUUUCUUGUGUAGGAGUGAAAUCCGUAGAUAUAAGAAGGAACACCAAUGGCGUAGGCAGGUGACUGGACCAUUUCUGACGCUAAGGCACGAAAGCGUGGGGAGCGAACCGGAUUAGAUACCCGGGUAGUCCACGCCGUAAAUGAUGGAUACUGGCUGUUGGAGGUAUCGACCCCUUCAGUAGCGAAGCUAACGCGUUAAGUAUCCCGCCUGUGGAGUACGGCCGCAAGGCUAAAACAUAAAGGAAUUGACGGGGACCCGCACAAGCGGUGGAUCGUGUUCUUUAAUUCGAUGCUAAACGAAGAACCUUACCAGGGCUUGACAUCCAGGGAAGG
RNAcentral lists this ribosomal RNA (944 nucleotides) under TM7 phylum sp. oral taxon 349. RNAcentral's name for it is "bacterial SSU rRNA". It matches the Rfam family "Bacterial small subunit ribosomal RNA", at positions 28 to 997 of the family's 1533-position model. The record is from RNAcentral. Lineage: Bacteria; Candidatus Saccharimonadota.